This 229-nucleotide ribosomal RNA is filed under the name uncultured bacterium. Its description in RNAcentral is "partial 16S ribosomal RNA". It matches the Rfam family "Bacterial small subunit ribosomal RNA", at positions 568 to 796 of the family's 1533-position model. The record is from RNAcentral.
UACGUAGGCGGAAGAUUAAGUCAGUGGUGAAAUCCUGCAGCUUAACUGUAGAACUGUCAUUGAUACUGGUUUUCUUGAAUUUAGUUGAGGUAGGCGGAAUGUGUAAUGUAGCGGUGAAAUGCUUAGAUAUUACACAGAACACCGAUUGCGAGGGCAGCUUACUAAACUAUGAUUGACGCUGAGGUACGAAAGCGUGGGGAGCGAACAGGAUUAGAUACCCUGGUAGUCC